Molecule: ribosomal RNA, 497 nt
Filed under: uncultured bacterium
Lineage: Bacteria
Description: partial 16S ribosomal RNA
Rfam family: Bacterial small subunit ribosomal RNA
Source: RNAcentral
UUGAACGCUGGCAGCAGGCCUAACACAUGCAAGUCGAGCGGCAGCGCGGGGCAACCUGGCGGCGAGCGGCGGACGGGUGAGUAACGCGUAGGAAUCUACCCAGUAGCGGGGGAUAGCCCGGGGAAACUCGGAUUAAUACCGCAUACGCGCUAAGGGGGAAAGCAGGGGAUCGUAAGACCUUGAACUAUUGGAAGAGCGUGCGUUGGAUUAGCUAGUUGGUAGGGUAAAGGCCUACCAAGGCGACGAUCCAUAACUGGUCUGAGAGGAUGAUCAGUCACACCGGAACUGAGACACGGUCCGGACUCCUACGGGAGGCAGAAGUGGGGAAUAUUGGACAAUGGGGGCAACCCUGAUCCAGCCAUGCCGCGUGUGUGAAGAAGGCCUUCGGGUUGUAAAGCACUUUAAGUGGGGAGAAAGGUUCGGCAGCUAAUACCUGCCGGAAGUGAUGUUACCCACAGAAUAAGCACCGGCUAACGCGGGGCCAGCAGCCGCCGUAA